This 253-nucleotide ribosomal RNA is filed under the name uncultured bacterium. RNAcentral's name for it is "partial 16S ribosomal RNA". It matches the Rfam family "Bacterial small subunit ribosomal RNA", at positions 524 to 776 of the family's 1533-position model. The record is from RNAcentral.
UACGGAGGGUGCGAGCGUUAUCCGGAUUCACUGGGUUUAAAGGGUGCGUAGGUGGGCAGGUAAGUCAGUGGUGAAAUCUCCGGGCUUAACCCGGAAACUGCCAUUGAUACUAUCAGUCUUGAGUACCGUGGAGGUAAGCGGAAUAUGUCAUGUAGCGGUGAAAUGCUUAGAUAUGACAUAGAACACCAAUUGCGAAGGCAGCUUACUACCCGAAUAUUGACACUGAGGCACGAAAGCGUGGGGAUCAAACAGG